AGAAAUAUAGUUAAAUUAAUAUUAAUUUGUCAAAUUAAAGAUGAAUUAAUUCCUC
Molecule: transfer RNA, 55 nt
Filed under: Cheliceroides longipalpis
Lineage: Eukaryota; Metazoa; Arthropoda; Arachnida; Araneae; Salticidae
Description: tRNA-Asp
Source: RNAcentral